Molecule: ribosomal RNA, 850 nt
Filed under: uncultured Bacillus sp.
Lineage: Bacteria; Bacillati; Bacillota; Bacilli; Caryophanales; Bacillaceae
Description: bacterial SSU rRNA
Rfam family: Bacterial small subunit ribosomal RNA
Source: RNAcentral
ACAUGCAAGUCGAGCGGACCGACGGGAGCUUGCUCCCUUGGGUCAGCGGCGGACGGGUGAGUAACACGUGGGUAACCUGCCUGUAAGACUGGGAUAACUCCGGGAAACCGGGGCUAAUACCGGAUGCUUGAUUGAACCGCAUGGUUCAAUCAUAAAAGGUGGCUUUUAGCUACCACUUGCAGAUGGACCCGCGGCGCAUUAGCUAGUUGGUGAGGUAACGGCUCACCAAGGCGACGAUGCGUAGCCGACCUGAGAGGGUGAUCGGCCACACUGGGACUGAGACACGGCCCAGACUCCUACGGGAGGCAGCAGUAGGGAAUCUUCCGCAAUGGACGAAAGUCUGACGGAGCAACGCCGCGUGAGUGAUGAAGGUUUUCGGAUCGUAAAACUCUGUUGUUAGGGAAGAACAAGUACCGUUCGAAUAGGGCGGUACCUUGACGGUACCUAACCAGAAAGCCACGGCUAACUACGUGCCAGCAGCCGCGGUAAUACGUAGGUGGCAAGCGUUGUCCGGAAUUAUUGGGCGUAAAGCGCGCGCAGGCGGUUUCUUAAGUCUGAUGUGAAAGCCCCCGGCUCAACCGGGGAGGGUCAUUGGAAACUGGGGAACUUGAGUGCAGAAGAGGAGAGUGGAAUUCCACGUGUAGCGGUGAAAUGCGUAGAGAUGUGGAGGAACACCAGUGGCGAAGGCGACUCUCUGGUCUGUAACUGACGCUGAGGCGCGAAAGCGUGGGGAGCGAACAGGAUUAGAUACCCUGGUAGUCCACGCCGUAAACGAUGAGUGCUAAGUGUUAGAGGGUUUCCGCCCUUUAGUGCUGCAGCAAACGCAUUAAGCACUCCGCCUGGGGAGUAC